AGAGGGGGGAGAGAGAAAGAGAGAGACAGAGAGAGAGGAUUACCGUCCCUUAAACUGCGCUCGCCUCACCCCAUCCGCAUCACACGCGCUCACCUGCGCGGGGACUUUCGUCAAGCGCAACUUUUGCUUUCUGUGGGGGAUUUCGAGCCUCUCGUUGCCCACACCCAGGUGAUAUGGAUUAACUGCACUUCUUCGAGGUGCGGCGGGGUUUUUUGCGGCGCUUUUCGAAGUUGUUCCACGUACAGGACGGUCGGGACGGCCCGCCCUGCGCUCAGGAGGGGAUUAGAGAGCGGAAACCCGCUACUCGGUAAAUGGAGGUGCAGGACAGGAGCCGCUCCCCGUCUCGCAGGACCAGCCGAGUAGAGCAGGUAGUGGGACGAUGGCUGAGACGGUCCAGAGACUUGGGCAGCAGAUCUCACUCUUUGAGCAGGGAUCGGGCUGCAGCAGAAGGGAAGACAGCAGAGUCCAGUAGCUCUGACC
This is a long non-coding RNA of Oreochromis aureus, 480 nucleotides long. Lineage: Eukaryota; Metazoa; Chordata; Actinopteri; Cichliformes; Cichlidae. The record is from Ensembl.